RNAcentral lists this ribosomal RNA (229 nucleotides) under uncultured bacterium. RNAcentral describes it as "partial 16S ribosomal RNA". It matches the Rfam family "Bacterial small subunit ribosomal RNA", at positions 568 to 796 of the family's 1533-position model. The record is from RNAcentral.
UGCGCAGGCGGGCUUGUAAGUCAGUGGUGAAAUACUGCCGCUUAACGGUAGAACUGCCAUUGAUACUGCGAGUCUUGAAUAUGGUUGAGAUAGGCGGAAUGUGUUGUGUAGCGGUGAAAUGCAUAGAUAUGACACAGAACGCCAAUUGCGAAGGCAGCUUACUAAGCCAUUAUUGACGCUGAGGCACGAAAGCGUGGGGAGCGAACAGGAUUAGAUACCCUGGUAGUCC